GUACUUUAAUUCUGUAACAUAAAUCCUCCAACUCCAACUUACACCUUCGUUUGCCUGUAGGGUAACCUCGGCACUCCUGUACUAGUUCCAUCGUAACCUCGGCAUUCUCGUGCUACAUUCGUCAACUCCUACCAAAUCUACGCUCACAUGAUUUUUUUGAAGAAUUAAGCAAAACUGUGAGUAUACUUGAACCCCCUUUUCCUUUUACCACACGUUGGGGUGUAACAUGUUAAUCUAUUAAACUUACACUCAUACUUUUGUAAUAAAUGCACAAACAAUCCUUAUACGUGCAUGCAUACGUUAUACUUAAUGCUUUAAUCUGGGUUUGUACGUUUUGUGUUGAACUUUUCAUUAACUUCGUACGAGCCUAACCUUAACAUGUAUAGCGCUAUAGGAGUAACGCACCGCCUGUGAACGUUGGGUUAUGUUAAGAGAUUUUUGCGUUAAACUUUGGGUUGACUAGUUCGUGCACAUGCCAGUUUAUUGUUUAUCUUGAAUAGCUAGCUUGCCAUGUGGAUUCGUUUAAACCUAUUUACUUAUGCUAUAUAUGAAAACCUGUAUACUCGAUAAUGCUGAUGAUUUAAGGAGCAUAGUGUUGAAGCUUUAGGUACACACCUAGAAAUCGUAGAUUUUAAAUUGUUGUAUCAAUUUUGUAUUACACUAUGUUGUAUCUGUUUUGUUGUAUUGGAACUUGUUGUAUUUGAAUUUCCUGUAUUGUAAUCGACUCUUGAAAUGAAAUGAAAUCAGUUUAUGUUAAUUCU
RNAcentral lists this long non-coding RNA (761 nucleotides) under Helianthus annuus (common sunflower). Its description in RNAcentral is "hypothetical non coding rna". The record is from RNAcentral. Lineage: Eukaryota; Viridiplantae; Streptophyta; Magnoliopsida; Asterales; Asteraceae.